RNAcentral lists this ribosomal RNA (380 nucleotides) under uncultured eukaryote. Its description in RNAcentral is "partial 18S ribosomal RNA". It matches the Rfam family "Eukaryotic small subunit ribosomal RNA", at positions 592 to 976 of the family's 1831-position model. The record is from RNAcentral.
CAAUAGCGUAUAUUAACGUUGUUGCAGUUAAAAAGCUCGUAGUUGGAUUUGUGGUGUACUUCGGCGGCCCGUCACUAUGUGAUGGAGCUUGCUGAAGUCGCCAUCCUUGGGUGGAUCCUGUGUGGCAUUAAGUUGUCGUGCAGGGGAUGCCCAUCGUUUACUGUGAAAAAAUUAGAGUGUUCAAAGCAGGCUUAUGCCGUUGAAUAUAUUAGCAUGGAAUAAUAAGAUAGGACCUUGGUACUAUUUUGUUGGUUUGCGCACCAAGGUAAUGAUUAAUAGGGACAGUUGGGGGUAUUCGUAUUUCAUUGUCAGAGGUGAAAUUCUUGGAUUUUUGAAAGACGAACUACUGCGAAAGCAUUUACCAAGGAUGUUUUCAUUAA